GACGAACGCUGGCGGCGUGCUUAACACAUGCAAGUCGAGCGGUAAGGCCCUUUCGGGGGUACACGAGCGGCGAACGGGUGAGUAACACGUGGGUGACCUGCCCUUAGCUCUGGGAUAAGCCUGGGAAACUGGGUCUAAUACCGGAUAUGACUCCAUGACGCAUGUUGUGGGGUGGAAAGCCUUGUGCGGCUAGGGAUGGGCCCGCGGCCUAUCAGCUUGUUGGUGGGGUGAUGGCCUACCAAGGCGACGACGGGUAGCCGGCCUGAGAGGGCGACCGGCCACACUGGGACUGAGAUACGGCCCAGACUCCUACGGGAGGCAGCAGUGGGAAUCUUGCGCAAUGGGCGAAAGCCUGACGCAGCGACGCCGCGUGAGGGAUGACGGCCU
Molecule: ribosomal RNA, 387 nt
Filed under: uncultured bacterium
Lineage: Bacteria
Description: bacterial SSU rRNA
Rfam family: Bacterial small subunit ribosomal RNA
Source: RNAcentral